RNAcentral lists this unclassified non-coding RNA (495 nucleotides) under Homo sapiens (human). RNAcentral describes it as "DnaJ heat shock protein family (Hsp40) member A3 (ENSG00000276726.4)". Lineage: Eukaryota; Metazoa; Chordata; Mammalia; Primates; Hominidae. The record is from RNAcentral.
GUCCCCGGGCCAAGAUGGCUGCGCGGUGCUCCACACGCUGGUUGCUGGUGGUUGUGGGGACCCCGCGGCUGCCGGCUAUAUCGGGUAGAGGGGCCCGGCCGCCCAGGGAGGGCGUGGUGGGGGCAUGGCUGAGCCGCAAGCUGAGCGUCCCCGCCUUUGCGUCUUCCCUGACCUCUUGCGGCCCCCGAGCGCUGCUGACAUUGAGACCUGGUGUCAGCCUUACAGGUGGAGUCUUGCUCUGUCGCCCAGGCUGGAGUGCAAUGGCGCGAUCUUGGCUCACUGCAACCUCAGCCUCCCAGGUUCAAACAAUUCUCAUGCCUCAGCCUCCCAAGUAGCUGGGAUUACAGGCGUGCACCACCAUGACCGGCUAAUUUUUGUAUUUUUAGUAGAGACAAGAUUUCACCAUGUUGGCCAGCUUGGUCUCGAACUCCUGACCUCAAGUGAUCCACCCGCCUCGGCCUCCCAAAGUGCUGGGAUUACAAUAGGCGUGAGCCA